GAUGAACGCUAGCGACAGGCCUAACACAUGCAAGUCGAGGGGCAUCGGGACGUAGCAAUACGUUGCCGGCGACCGGCGGAUGGGUGAGUAACGCGUAUGCAACCUACCCGUAGCAGGGGGAUAGCCCGUUGAAAGACGGAUUAAUACCCCGUAACACAGGGGCUCCGCAUGGAGAUUAUUGUUAAAGGGUCAUUUCUUUUCAGGGGAUGGUCCGGCUGCGGAUGGGCAUGCGUUCCAUUAGGUAGUUGGUGUAGGUAACUGCUCACCAAGCCGACGAUGGAUAGGGGAACUGAGAGGUUGGUCCCCCACACUGGUACUGAGACACGGACCAGACUCCUACGGGAGGCAGCAGUGAGGAAUUUUGGUCAAUGGACGCAAGUCUGAACCAGCCAUGUCGCGUGAAGGAGGACGGCCCUAAGGGUUGUAAACUUCUUUUGCAGUGGAAUAAAGUUUGCCACGUGUUGGCGAUUUGCAAGUACGCUGCGAAUAAGGAUCGGCUAACUCCGUG
RNAcentral lists this ribosomal RNA (508 nucleotides) under uncultured bacterium. RNAcentral describes it as "bacterial SSU rRNA". It matches the Rfam family "Bacterial small subunit ribosomal RNA", at positions 28 to 507 of the family's 1533-position model. The record is from RNAcentral.